CCCGCCCCGGCGGGACGGGCCCGCGGGCGGACGGCGCUGGGAGAGCCGGGCUCGUGGCGCCGGUGGGGGCAGGGAUGGAGAGAAGGGCUACACAGGCCUCAGCUUUCCCUCAUAAAUGAGCUGUGCCAGUCCCUGAUCUUCCAGGACACUUUCAGACUGUCGCUCCUGUCUUGAGGGGCCCAGAACUGGAAACAUUUGAGGCCUCACCCUCUUCCCACCAG
Lonchura striata (white-rumped munia) is the source of this 221-nucleotide non-coding RNA. Lineage: Eukaryota; Metazoa; Chordata; Aves; Passeriformes; Estrildidae. The record is from RefSeq and is a predicted model, not a curated record.